CCCGAUUAAUCCUACGUGGGGAAGCAAUGCGCCUAGACAUCCAUUGUAUAUUUCCAGAGCUACAUUAAUAAGACAAUCAACCAAAACAUUGCCUUAAUAAGUACCUCAAAUUUGACGAACAUAUAUUAUGGUCUGUGCACCCAAAAAACUUGCAUAUCCAACAAUGAAAUCGCCACCAUAUGAUAUUAUUGCACUUGACUCGUACCUGGAGCUAAUGCUGAUUUGCCUUAUACCAAACCACCUUAGCGUAAUCCUUAGUCUUGUGUUCUCCAUCUUCUGAAACAUUGCUCCUAAAGUGGCAUUGUCUUCCAUUGCAAGGUCUCUGCAUUUAAAAUUCAGACAAAAUAUUACACUACAUUGGCGUACCCAAAAUUUCAAUCAAACGGGGUCAACUAUUAGACAUUGCAACGUCUCUGUGUAUGACAAAGUAACUUUUUUCUUUUUCCAUAAUGUAUACGGUUAAAACCGAUUAGUCCAUCGUACAGACUGGUCGGUAUGAUAAUACUUUGAUCAAAGGGUAGCUUCGUAAUAACAGGUCGAGGUUCGAAGUCAGGUCAUCAAGUUUCGAGUUCUAGGAUCGAUCAAUGAUAAGCUCGGUAUCAUUAUCGAGCUCGUAUCCAAAUCGAACUACGGGGCGAUGCGAAAUUAUCGAGCCUAAGAUGCAUAGAUCGACCGACACCGACCCCGAAGCAAUACCAGACUCCGAGUCAGAAUCGAGCUCGAGUCAAUAUCGAGCUCACAGACAAGAGUCGUUGCAACCACACUAGGAGAGAGAAUCCUGGCAGGAAUUAGGGAAAAGCUAGUUCCUCAUGGGUUCCCCAUUAUGCAUUUUUUAUUAUAUAAGUAGGAUCCCUCCACUAUAAAGUGGAUGAUUGUUGUUUUUGAACGGACAUUCACACAUUGUAACAAAAUAUUAUUCCUUAUAUUGAAUGAUCAAUCCUUUGAGCUCUCUUACUUCAUUUAUUUCCUCAUUUCAAUAGUUUUUAUCUUUCGUUCUUAUAGUCAAGAUUGGAUAUUUUUAUUUCUCUUUACGAUUUGUAUCAAGCUAUACCACAUACCCUUAGAACUACGCACAAAUUCAACUCUAUCCAAUUUUUUGGGUAAAUAGUUUGGCGUCCACCGUGGGGCUGAGGAUAACAGUGGUUGUUUGAUACAAACCUGCAAUACACACCAUUUUACGCUUGUCUUUCGAGUGUAUAUUUGGCUUUGGAUUAGCAAGUACAAACCCCCGAUUAAUGGCUUUACCUACCGACAACGAAGUCGUCCUUCAAAAUGAAACCAACAACUUGAUGCCCAGGGCCGGAAGGCCGCUUGUUGAUGUUGUUGAAGCUCGAGUCGAAGUACCACUAGACGUUAAUUCGCAUGUGGCCCUUGGGGUAAACCAACGUUCUGAACCUGAACAUAGCAUUCAUGGUGGUACUCGAUAUGCAGCCCGAGAUACCCAUAACAUUGAGGAAAAUGGCGUCAGCUUGCGUAUGAUUUUUGAAAUAUUGCAAGCCCAACAGGUAGCAAUAGCUCAGUUGCAGAGCCAAACCCAGCUACCGAGAAGGCCAGAGCCCAGACCAUCUCGAGAAGUUUCCCACAGAAUGAACCAGCCAUAGUGAGGUCAAAUGAGCAAGAAUCGGGGACUACUCCCGAAAUUGCGAAAAUACUCAAGGAUCUCACAAAGCGAGUCGAAGCCAACGAUAAAAAAGUAGAAACGUAUAACUCCAGGGUCGAUCAUAUCCUGGGGGCUCCACCAAUGAUAAAAGGGUUGUAUUCCAAAAAAUUCGUGUAAAAACUUUUUACCUCGAGCGUAGCCCCAAAACCAAUCCCCAAAAAAUUUCGUAUGCCUGAAAUUCCCAAAUAUAACGGAACGACCAACCCCAACGAACACGUCACCUCUUACACGUGUGCCAUCAAGGGUAGCGAUUUAGAAGACGAUGAAAUCGAAUAUGUGUUAAAAAAAUUCAGAGAGACCUUCUCGAAGGGAGCAAUGAUUUGGUAUCACAACCUACCACCGAAUUCCAUCUACUCAUUUGCCAUGUUAGCAGAUUAUUUUAUAAAGGCACAUGCCGGUGCCAUAAAAGUCGCAACAAGGAAAUCAGACUUUUUCAAAGUAAAACAAAGGGAUAAUGAAAUGCUGAGGGAGUUCGUGUCCCGAUUUCAAAUGGAACGCAUGGAAUUUCCACCGGUCACAGAUGAUUGGGCCGUUCAAGCUUUCACCCAAGGGUUGAACGAGCGAAGUUCGAUAGCAUCACGUCGGUUGAAAUAAAAUAUGAUCGAGUAUCCAAGAAUAACUUGGGCAGAUGUCCACAAUCGAUACGAAUCAAAAAUCAGGGCCGAAGACGACCAAUUAGGAGCUCAACCCGGAUUAGUACACCCAAACAGGUUGGCUAUAUCAGCUAUUAAAAACCAAAGGGACAUCAACAUAGAUCCAAGGUCGAACAGAGACGAUAUCAACCAUACAUUGCAGAUCGAAGGAACAAUGGUUCGGGACGCAAUUCCGUCCGGAACAAUCGAAGAAGUGAUCGAGGGCAGAAUUCUCGGGGACUUAUGAACAAGAGUGGUUUUGACAAAUAUGCCGACCCUAUAGGGGCACCUCAGUUAUUGGAAUAUAACUUCAACGUCGAUGCAUUGGGCAUUGUAUCGGCAAUCGGAAGAAUCAAAUACACUAGGUGGCCCAAACCCAUGCAAACCGAUCCUUCCCAGAGCAACCCAAAUUUGAUGUGCAAAUAUCAUGGUACGCAUGGCCACAAGACCGAGGAUUGCAAACAAUUAAGGGAAGAGGUAGCUCGUCUAUUCAAUGAGGGCCACCUUCGAGAGUUCCUCAGUGAUCGAGCCAAGAAUCACUUCAGAGAAAGGGAUGCCAACAGAAAAAAUGAGCAAGAGGAACCUCAACAUAUCAUUCAUAUGAUCAUCGGUGGGGUCGACACUCCACAGGGACCCGUACUCAAAUGCAAUAAGGUACCGACCACUGGGAUAAAAUGAACUCGAGAUUAUGUGCCAGAAGGAAUUUUAUCAUUCGACAACGAAGAAGCAGAAGGCAUUUCUCAGCCCCACAACGACGCUCUGGUAAUUUCUAUCCUAUUAAAUAAAGUUCAAGUUAAGCGUGUUUUAGUGGAUCCAGGUAGCUCUGCGGACAUCAUCCGAUCGAGGGUCGUGGAGCAGCUCGGUCUACAAAAUCAAGUCAUGCCCGCAGCUCGGGUCUUAAACGGCUUCAAUAUGGCCAGUGAAAUGACUAAAAGGGAGAUUAUUCUACCGGUGAAUGUGGAUGGGACCAUCCAAAGUACCAAGUUCCACGUAAUCGAAGGCGACAUGAGGUACAAUGCCCUACUUGGAAGGCCUUGGAUCCACAAUAUGAGAGUAGUACCCUCGACUCUCCACCAAGUAAUGAAAUUUCCGACGUCGGACAACGUGAAAAUAGUAUACGGGAAGCAAUAUGCUGCAAAGGAAAUGUUUGCAGUCGAUGAGGUAACACUGAUAUCAACACACUCAACCUUGAAAAGAUCGAGCAUUAAAGGUAAGCGAGAAGUCAAAUAGCAAUAACAACUGCCAAUCUCGACCGAAUCAGGGAAGCAGGAAAUGGAAGAAGAGGAGGAGGAUUUUCUGACUCCCCGAACUUUUAUCACCCCCGAAGAUUCUGAUGCUACCAAAAUAACGAUCGAGGAACUUGAACAAAUUAUAUUUAUCGAGCAUCUGCCCGAGAAAAAGGUAUACCUGGGAACGGGAUUGACCCCCGAACUCAGGAAAAAACUUAUUCAAUUUCUUAUUAAUAACAUAAAUUAUUUUGCUUGGACCUAUUUAGACAUGGCAGGAAUCCCACCGUCGAUAGCAACGCACCGGCUGAGCUUGGACCUUAGGUUCAAACCGGUGAAGCAAAAAAGAAGACCUCAGUCCGAGAUAAAGCACAUAUUUAUAAAGGACGGGGUAACUAAACUUCUCAAAAUAGGGUCGAUUCGGGAAGUAAAAUAUCCUGAAUGUUAGCCAAUAUAGUUGUAGUCCCUAAAAAGGGGAACAAACUUAGAAUGUGUGUAGAUUAUAAGGAUCUGAACAAGGCGUGCCCUAAAGAUUCUUUUCCACUGCCUAACAUCGAUCGCAUGAUCGAUGCCACAGCCGUCCACAAGAUUCUUACUUUUCUCGAUGCCUAUUCCGGGUACAAUCAAAUUCAAAUGAACCCGGAGGACCGAGAAAAGACCUCAUUUAUCACCAAAUACGAAACAUAUUGUUGUAAUGUGAUGCCCUUCGGGCUAAAAAAUGUAGGAGCUACUUACCAACACCUAGUGAAUAAAAUAUUCGAAGAACAAAUAGGUAAGUCAAUGGAAGUUUAUAUUAAUGACAUGCUAGUUAAGUUCCUACGUGCGGAGGACCAUUUGACUCAUUUGUAGGAGACGUUCGAGAUUUUAAAAAAAUACAACAUAAAGCUCAACCCCGAGAAAUGUGCUUUCGGGGUUAGAUCAGGCAAAUUCCUUGGCUUCAUGGUAUCUAAUCGGGGAAUCGAGAUCAACCCCGAUAAAAUCAAGUCCAUCGAAGACAUUACCAUCAUAGAUAGUGUGAAAGCAGUGCAAAAACUAACUGGACGGAUAGCUGUCUUAGGCCGGUUCAUUUCGAGGUCGUCGGAUUGAAGCCACAGAUUCUUCUCUCUACUAAAAAAGAAGAACGAUUUCGCCUGGACACCGGAAUGCCAACAGGCAUUAGAACAAUUGAAGCGAUACCUGUCGAGCCCACCACUGCUUCACACUCCGAAGGCAGAUGAGAAACUUUACUUAUACUUGGCGGUGUCAGAAAUCACAGUAAGUAGCGUCCUAGUUCGAGAAGAGCAAGGUACGGAAUUUCCUGUUUAUUAUGUAAGUCGGACCUUAGGAGAAGUAGAAAUUAGAUAUCCUCACUUAGAGAAAUUGGCACUUGCACUGAUAAGCGCCUCUAGAAAGUUAAGACCAUACUUUCAAUGUCACCCCAUAUGCGUUUUUACUACUUACCAACUUCGUAAUAUUUUGCACAAGCCCGAACUAUCGGGCCGAUUGGCCAAGUGGGUCAUCGAACUCAGUGGGUACAAUAUUGAAUAUCAACCCCGUACGGCCAUCAAGUCUCAAAAUUUAGCGGACUUCGUGCCGAUUUCACGCCAACCCUCGUACCUGAAGUUGAAAAAGAACUCUUGUCAAAAUUGGGUACAACAUCGGGGGUUUGGACCCUCUUCGUAGAUGGUGCUUCGAAUGCGAAGGGGUUCGGACUUGGCAUUGUGUUGAAACCCCCCGCGGGUGGCAUUAUUCGGAAAUCUAUCAAAACUUCUAGGUUGACUAAUAAUGAGGCCGAGUACGAGGCCAUGAUUGCAGGUCUCGAGCUAGCUAAAAGCUUGGGAGCAGAAGUCAUUGAAGCCAAAUGUGACUCUUUGCUAGUGGUAAACCAAAUAAACAAAACCUUUGAAGUUCGAGAAGACAAAAUGCAAAGGUAUUUGGACAAAUUACAGGUAACUUUGCACCGUUUCAAGGAAUGGACUUUACAACAUGUGCCUCUAGAACAAAACAGUAAGGCCGAUGCACUCGCAAAUUUGGGGUCAUCGGUCGAGAAAGACGAGAUCGACGCGGGGACUGUCGUUUAACUCGGGAUCCGUAAUCGAGGAGGUGCAUGCCGAUAUAAAUUCUACAAGCUUAACCUGUGAUUGGAGGAACAAGUAUAUUGAAUACUUGAAGAAUGGAAAACUCCCAUCGAACCCUAAAGAAUCAAGGGCCCUACGAACCAAAGCUGAUCGAUUCACGUUGGCUGAAGAUGGAACACUAUACAGAAGGAUGUUCGAUGGACUAUUGGCAAUAUGCUUAGGACCAGGAGACACCGAUUAUGUUUUACGAGAGGUCCAUGAAGGUACUUGUGGAAACCACUCCGGCGCCGAAUCACUGAUUCACAAAAUCAUCAGGGUAGGAUAGUACUGGAAUAGUAUGGAAAAAUACACUAAGGAGUUUGUUCGAAAAUGUGAUAAAUAUCAAAGGUUUGCACCGAUGAUCCAUCAACCCGGAGAGCAACUUCAUUCAGUACUAUCCCUAUGGCCAUUCAUGAAAUGGGGGAUGGAUAUCGUCGGCCCCCUACCAUCGGCCCCAGGUAAAGCUAAGUUCAUUUUAUUUAUGACUGACCAUUUCUCUAAAUGGGUUGAAGCACAGGCAUUCGAGAAAGUGAGAGAAAAAGAGGUUAUAGACUUCAUCUGGGAUCACAUCGUGUGUCGAUUUGUGAUACCCACAGAAAUAACAUGCGACAAUGGUAAGCAAUUUAUUGGCAGUAAAGUAACAAAAUUUCUCGAAGACCAUAAAAUAAAAAGGAUAUUGUCAACACCGUACCAUCCUAGUGGGAACGGACAGGCCGAAUCGACGAACAAGACUAUCAUCCAAAACUUGAAGAAAAGGUUUAACAAAGCUAAAGGGAAAUAGAGAGAAAUUCUGCCUGAGGUCCUUUGGGCAUAUCGAACAACAUCGAAAUCCAGUACGGGGGCAACUCCGUUUUCCUUAGUGUAUGGCUCCGAGGCCUUAAUUCCAGUCGGAGAACCCAGCCCAAGGUUUUGACAUACAUCGGAGGAAUCGAACCACGAGGCUAUGAAUACUAGCCUUGAAUUAUUGGAUGAAAAACGAGAAGUGGCACUUGUUCGAAUGGCUACACAAAAGCAACGAAUCGAAAGGUACUACAAUAGAAGAACCAAUCUCCGCCACUUCAGGGUAGGAAACUUAGUCCUAAGGAUGGUCACCAUCAACACUCGAGAUCCUACUGAAGGAAAGCUCGGCCCGAAUUGGGAAGGACCCUAUCAAGUCCUCGAUAUAGUCGGAAAAGAGUCUUAUAAACUCGGAACGAUGGAUGACAAACCAUUACCAAACAACUGGAACAUAUCUCUUCUCAAACGAUAUUAUUGUUAAGGUAUGAUUUUCUCCCUAUUUUCGUCCAUAUAUGUUCGACGCUAACACACUGCAGGAGUUCGACUAAAGACAUCGAGACCUCAGGUUUUAAAGUAUGCGUUACACUCUUUUUUUCUUAGAUAGGUUUUUAUCCCAACUGAGUUUUUCCAACGAGAUUUUUAACGAGGCAACAACUAUGUGCUACCUGAGGACAAUUUGACAGUAUUCGAGGUUGACUGUAUAUCCAAGGCCUCCUUACAGUCAACCUCGAAUACUGGGGACCUUACCACCAAAUAAAUUAAAUUCGAUACAAGAAAGUUAUUUCAUAUCAAAUUCAUGUCAGACACGGUCUCGAUAGAGAAAGGUGUAAGGGACAAAUGGUCAAAACGAACCAUGCCCGUAUAGUUUUGCUCGAUCCUGACACAAAAUACGAACACAUGUAUAAUGACUUGUAAAGGAAAAACUUCUUCUUUACCGAUAUAUCAUACUUUGAAAAGUUCGUUCUACUUCUUGAUUCAAACAGGCUUAAAGGCCGACCACUAUCGAGUUUGAGUAAUCACUUACUCGACCAUAAAUCCUACGGGCUACAAUACUUCGAGUUCGAGUUCAAGAAAACACUUACUCGACUAUUAAGCCUAAGGGCUAUCUUACUUCGAGUUCUAGGAAUCACUCACUCGACCAUAAAGCCUACGGACUGCAAUACUUUGAGUUUGAGCAAACACUCACUCGACUAUUAAGACUAAGGGCUAUCUUACUUCGAGUUCGAGCAAUCACUCAUUCGACCAUAAAGCCUACAGGCUGCAAUACUUCGAGUUCGAGUUUGAGUUCAAGCAAUCACUCACUCGACUAUUAAGUCUAAGGGCUAUCUUACUUCGAGUUCGAGCAAUCACUCACUCGACCAUAAAGCCUAAGGGCUGCAAUACUUUAAGUUCAAGCAAACACUCACUCGACUAUUAAGCCUAAGGACUAUCCUACUUCGAGUUCGAGCAAUCACUCGCUCGACCAUAAAGCCUACAGGCUGCAAUGCUUCAAGUUCGAGUUCAAGCAAACACUCACUCGACUAUUAAGACUAAGGUUAUCUUACUUCGAGUUCAAGCAAUCACUCAUUCGACCAUUAAGCCUACGAGCUGCAAUACUUCGAGUUCGAGCAAUCACUCACUCGACUAUUAAGCCUAAGGGAUACUUUACUAAAAGUUCGAGCAAACACUCACUCAACUAAAUCCUCAAACUUAUGAACAUUUUUAUAAGACACAAGUAAAAACAAAUCUUCACUAGGCAGAAAAGAAAACAUAGACAAAUUGGGAAAAGAAAAAACCUUUGUAUAUAUGUUUAUAAAACGUCCGAUCAGGACCUUACAUGAAAAGAUCAAAAUAAGAAAAACUCUAAUUAUCUAUGGGAGCAGUCUUUUUCUCCAUCGGGCUCCUCCGCACUCUGAGACCCGCUCUUGCUCCCAUCACCAUCAUCGUCAUCGUCAUCAUCAUCAUCGGAGGCUAAGGCCCCAGCAUCGGCUUCAAGAUCUUUUGCCUUUAUUAUCUCUUCAGUAAGAUCGAAGCCUCGAGCAUGGAUCUCCUCGAGGGUUUCCCUCCGAGAUUGGCAUUUGGCAAAUUUGGCAAUCCAAUGUGCUCGAGUUCGAGCGAUCUCGACUACUUCUCUCGUAUGCGACUGAACAGCCUUAUUAUCGGCCCGAUAAACAGCCAUAAAUGCGUCUGCAUCGGCCUUAGUCUUUUCAGCCUUGGCAAGUUCAAAAGCCAACCGAGCCUCGAGCUCCUCUGUUUUCCUUGCUUGAACCAAGAUUUUCUCCUUCAGACUCUAAAGUUAAUUUUCGGCCGAUGAUAAUUGGGCUCGAGCAGACUCUUUCUCUGCAGCAAAGCGGUCCAUAUUUCCUUUCUAUUUCAAGGACUCUGCCUUUAUCACAUUGACCUACUCACAGAGCUUCCCGAUCAUCUCAAGCUUCUGCUGCAGCUGCGAGACCCAAAGAUUAGCCAUCGUUCCAGUAUCAAGUCCAUAGACUUUUAAUAGUGUCAUUACCUGCUCGGACAUAUCGGUUUGAUCUUGGUGAGAUUUGGCCAACUCAGCUCGGAGGUCCUUGAUUUCUUUUCCCAUUUGCCCUAAGAGGAGUUUAAGGGCCUUCCUCUCCUUCGUGGCCCGUUGGAGAUCGGCCUCGUAUCGACGCAACUCAGCUCGGGAUCGAGAACAUGCUUCUCGAUGAGCUACCACAUCCUACAAAGAAAGAAGAAGCAAAGUAAGAAAAGAAAAAUAGACAUAAGAGAUAAUACCAAAAAAAUUUAAGGCUUACCUAAUUCAAAGCCUGCUGCACUCCGUGAAAAAGAUCUGAUGCAUCACUAGUGCCGGCAGCGUCCUCGACACCGGUAAACAGGUCACAAAAAGGAUCCUCUCCCUCAUGAGGCCUAUCAAGUUCGAGGGCCCCCCAAAGCUUGGGCUUCCUGAAUCGCCCCUUCGGAAAAAUCAGGGAAGGUGGGCGAGUCUUCGACUGCUACUGCCCCAAGUAAGUCACUUGGGGAAUUCUCUUCGGUAAGAAGAGAUUCGGGGAGAGCCCCUUCAGACAUAUCCCCCAUCUGUUGGCUUCGAUUGGAAGCAUCCUUGAUCUCCAACGACUCGGGGACUCUGCCCAAAAUUUUCUCCGAUGUAUCCUUAGUUCGAGGCGGAGCCUUAUAAACCACCAUCGAUCCAACUGCCUGUGGAACGUCGGUGGUCUUCUUCGAUUGGGCCACCAGUAUGGACUCGUCGUCUUCCACUUCCUCAUCUUUAUCCCUUAGAUGUUGAACCGAUUCUAAGGUCAAGGGGAUGGUAUUCUUUCUCGACUUACGAGUCGACCUUGCCUUCGAUUUUAGAUUUUCGGAAGUAGAGGCCCUUUUUCGGAAGUAGAGGCCCUUCUUCCUCGCCGGGUAGGGGCCUCAAAACUGCAUCUCUGCCUAGGCCCACACAUAAGAAAAUCGGUUGAAUAUGUGGAAAAUAUUUCGUUCGAACUCUCAAAACAUAAGAAAUAGGCUUACCAUGAUUUUUGGCCUCACAUCGGCCCUUUUCCAAAUCACGCCACGAACGUUCGGCGUAUGUAGAGGUCGAAGCCAGGGCCCGUACCCAGCUCUUAAGAUCGGGAACGGCACCGGCAUCCAAGGAACCGCUGCAUCACAAAAGAGAUAUCAGCAAGAAAGAAACAAAGAGAUAAGGCGAUAGGGAAUAAGCAGUAGAAUUACACUUACACUUCAUAUUCCAUUCUUUAGGGAAUGGCAUCUUUUCGGCUGGGAUCAGGUCCGAAGUCUUCACUCGAACGAACCUGCCCAUCCAACCUCGAUCCUUGUCCUCAUCUAUGCUCGAGAACAGUACCUUGGUAGCCCGGAGUUGAAGUUUUAUUAAUCCACCUCAAAAGAGGCGGGGACUAUACAAUCUAAUAAGAUGAUCGAGGGUGAAAGGCAUCCCCUCGAUCUUGUUUGCAAAUAAAUGGAUCAGGAUAACGAUCCGCCAAAAGGAAGGAUGAAUCUGACCUAGAGUUAUUCGGCAUUGACAACAAAAAUCGAUGAUAAUAGGAUCGAGAGGUCCUAAUGUAAAAGGGUAAGUAUACACACUAAGGAACCCUUCCACGUGGGUGGUAAUAUCUUCAUCGGGAGCGGGAAUUACCACUUUCUUGUUAUCCCAGUUGCAAUCUGUCUUUAACUGAGCAAGUUGAUUUUUGGUUAUCGAGCUCAAAUACCUCGAUACCGGCUCAUACCGACUGGGAACCAACGAGACCUUAUUGACUUUAAAAUCGGAGGUGAGAAGACAUGUUCCGGGAACAAACUCCUCAGGCCGUGGCUCCACCGGUGAUUUAUCGGCGGCGGGCUGUAAAGAAGAAGCCUCUUCAUUUUGAGGGAAGGUUUUUGAUGUUUUCACCAUUUUUUGAAUUUGGAAGAAAGAAAUAAAGAAAAUGUGGUGUUUCAAAGAGAGGUUUUGCAGUAAAAACCACAGAAGGAAAAUCUUGCACUUAAUUCAGAAGGUAUGAGAAAAUGCUUAGGAAAUUUUGAGAUUAGAAGAUGUAAAAGUUAUUAAUGGUGAAAGAAGGGGAUAUUUAUAGGCUGAGUAGUGGCUGUCCCAUAUCGGUAAUGGCCGACCACCGUCUGACACGCAUUAAAUACCUCGAUAAACUGAACCGAUGAGACAGCUAUCAUGUAUGUCAUGAUCGGAUUCGAUGCACACGUCAGUAUAUAUCUAAUCGUACCGUUAGAAAAUCAUAUCGUUUCUCAUUACAUUCUUCUCGAGAAAUGCGGGGACUAUCUGUAUACGGUCAAAACCGAUUAGUCCGUCGUACGGACUGGUCGGUAUGAUAAUACUUUGAUCAAAGGGCGGCUUCGUAAUACCAGGUCGAGGUCCGAAGUCAGGUCAUCAAGCUUCGAGUUCUAGGAACGAUCAAUGACAAGCUCGGUAUCAUUAUCGAGCUCGUAUCCAAAUCGAACUACGGGGCGAUGCAAAAUUAUCGAGCCUAAGAUGCAUAGAUCGACCGACACCGACCCUGAAUCAAUACCAGACUGCGAGUCAGAAUCGAGCUUGAGUCAAGAUCGAGAGCUCGAGUCAAGAUCGAGCUCACAGACAAGAGCCGUUGCAACUACACUAGGAGAGAGAAUCCUGGCAGGAAUUAGGGAAAAGCUAGUUCCUCAUGGAUUCCGCACUAUGUAUUUUUUUAUUAUAUCUAAAGUAGGAUCCCUCCACUAUAAAGGGGAUGAUUGUUAUUUUUGAACGGACAUUCGCACAUUGUAACAAAAGAUUAUUCCUUAUAUUGAAAGAUCAAUCCUUUGAGCUCUCUUACUUCAUUUAUUUUCUCAUUUCAACAGUUUUUAUCUUUCGUUCUUAUAGUCAAGAUUAGAUAUUUUUAUUUCUCUUUACGAUUUAUAUUAAGCUAUACUACAUACCCUUAGAACUACAUACAAAUUCAACUCUAUCUGAUUUUUUGGGUAAACACAUAAUACCCCGGAAAAGAUUGUUGUUUUGAGGUAGUUUAGCCUUAAUCUUAGAAACACAAACAGUUAGACAAAACAAUAUCAUUUUUGUCAUUGUUCCAUUAAAUUAUAUAGAUAUAACCAAUUAUAAGUCUUAGAAAUUUCCUUUAUAAGUCUCCAAUUUUAUAUUUUUAUAUUUUACUCUUAUAUGUAGUUAAUAACAAUAACAAUAUAGCAAUUUUGAAACACUGUAACAAAUUAAAAAUAAAUAAAAUAAACACACAAUUUACUAAAACAAUAACUAAAUAAAAUAAUAGGACUAACCUCGCCUCACAUAUGUUGAGGUUUUUAGAGUAUGUAAAACUC
RNAcentral lists this long non-coding RNA (12145 nucleotides) under Nicotiana tabacum (common tobacco). Its description in RNAcentral is "long non-coding RNA (NTAB_LNC016354)". Lineage: Eukaryota; Viridiplantae; Streptophyta; Magnoliopsida; Solanales; Solanaceae. The record is from RNAcentral.